This 465-nucleotide ribosomal RNA is filed under the name uncultured bacterium. RNAcentral's name for it is "partial 16S ribosomal RNA". It matches the Rfam family "Bacterial small subunit ribosomal RNA", at positions 28 to 507 of the family's 1533-position model. The record is from RNAcentral.
GACGAACGCUGGCGGCGUGCUUAACACAUGCAAGUCGAACGGAAAGGCCCUGCUUGCAGGGUACUCGAGUGGCGAACGGGCGAGUAACACGUGGGUGAUCUGCCCUGCACUUCGGGAUAAGCCUGGGAAACUGGGUCUAAUACCGGAUAGGAGCCAUUUUUAGUGUGAUGGUUGGAAAGUUUUUUCGGUGUAGGAUGAGCUCGCGGCCUAUCAGCUUGUUGGUGGGGUAAUGGCCUACCAAGGCGGCGACGGGUAGCCGGCCUGAGAGGGUGGACGGCCACAUUGGGACUGAGAUACGGCCCAGACUCCUACGGGAGGCAGCAGUGGGGAAUAUUGCACAAGGGGCGCAAGCCUGAUGCAGCGACGCCGCGUGGGGGAUGACGGCCUUCGGGUUGUAAACUCCGUUCGCUAGGGACGAAGCUUUUUGUGACGGUACCUAGAGAAGAAGCACCGGCUAACUACGUG